CAGAGGUUACUGCUAUCGAGAUUCGACUAAGCCAUSCGAGUUGAAUGUUCUUCGUGAACAUGGCGGACUGCUCAGUAACACGUGGACAACCUACCCUUGGGUCCGGCAUAAUCCUGGGAAACUGGGAAUAAUUCCGGAUAGGUCACCGAUGCUGGAAUGCGCGGUGGCCGAAAGCUCCGGCGCCCGAGGAUGGGUCUGCGGCCUAUCAGGGUUGUAGUGGGUGUAACGUACCUACUAGCCUACGACGGGUACGGGUUGUGAGAGCAAGAGCCCGGAGAUGGAUUCUGAGACACGAAUCCAGGCCCUACGGGGUGCAGCAGGCGCGAAAACUUUACAAUGCGGGAAACCGUGAUAAGGGGAUCUCGAGUGCCAGCAUAUAAUGUUGGCUGUCCAGAUGCCUAAAAAGCAUCUGUUAGCAAGGGCCGGGCAAGACCGGUGCCAGCCGCCGCGGUAACACCGGCGGCCCGAGUGGUAACCGCUAUUAUUGGGUCUAAAGGGUCUGUAGCCGGCCAGGUAAGUCCCUUGGGAAAUCUGGCAGCUCAACUGUCAGGCUGCUAGGGGAUACUGUUUGGCUUGGGACCGGGAGAGGUGAGAGGUACCUUGGGGGUAGGGGUGAAAUCUUGUGAUCCUCGAGGGACCACCAGUGGCGAAGGCGUCUCACCAGAACGGGUCCGACGGUAAGGGACGAAAGCUAGGGGCACGAACCGGAUUAGAUACCCGGGUAGUCCUAGCCGUAAACGAUGCUCGCUAGGUGUCAGUCACGGUGCGACCGUGAUUGGUGCCGUAGGGAAGCCGUGAAGCGAGCCACCUGGGAAGUAUGGCCGCAAGGCUGAAACUUAAAGGAAUUGGCGGGGKAGCACYACAACGGGUGGAGCCUGCGGUUAAUG
RNAcentral lists this ribosomal RNA (887 nucleotides) under uncultured Methanosaeta sp. Its description in RNAcentral is "bacterial SSU rRNA". It matches the Rfam family "Archaeal small subunit ribosomal RNA", at positions 18 to 906 of the family's 1478-position model. The record is from RNAcentral. Lineage: Archaea; Methanobacteriati; Methanobacteriota; Methanomicrobia; Methanotrichales; Methanotrichaceae.